GACAGACAGACAGACAGACGGGGAGAAACGGUUGCGAAAGAUAGAUAGACUCCUCAAUGCAAAGUGCAUUUUGAACCGCCAUUUCUACGCGCCCAGCACUGCUGUUCGGCGGGGAUCCUCAAACAGGCUGUUCAACACCCCGAAAAUUUCUUCUUGAGAGGCAUGCUGGGUCUGCCUCUCUCCGGACGGCUGCCGCCCAGACGCGUGUUGCCGCGUAAAAAUGUGCAAUGGCGCUGUGGUCAACGCCAGUGUCAAGGAGCACGUUGACGGCUGUUGGAAUUGCUGAGCUCUGUGGGUCUCCUUUACAGCUUUGUAUUCAAACUGAGUGGUCCGUCUGGACGGAGCAACAUGCUGCAAGGUGCAACUGGAGAUCGCAAGGCUGCCAACUUUACAGCAAUGCGGUUGGUCAGCAGUUUGAUUCAUCAUCGGCGUUAUCAGCUCUCAGCUUCAAAAGGAUCAUGUCAAUCCACAGCGCACACCCGAUGGACUACUUUUGAGUCUUCAAACAGAAAUUAUGACAGCAUCUGUUAAAAGUGCCUGUUUCCUGAACUGUUUUUAUGAGACUCCAUCCCACCUGUCUUCAGUGAUGUCUGGACUCAGUGACUUGGACACCAGCCUUGUCAUGGCUAAUUAAAGAGAUGAUCAUGCCAGUCCACAGUGAACACCUGAUGGACGUGUGACUCCUAAAGCAGAGGCAAUGACAGCACAUACUUCAAGUUCCAGUUUCUUGAACAUUAUGUCCUUGUGAGGCUGUCCCAUUUUGAGCGCCCUCUGUUUUUUGCAGUAUAAUGUUGGAAC
Molecule: long non-coding RNA, 798 nt
Organism: Myripristis murdjan (pinecone soldierfish)
Lineage: Eukaryota; Metazoa; Chordata; Actinopteri; Holocentriformes; Holocentridae
Exons: 7
Source: RefSeq, a predicted model, not a curated record